UACGAAGGGUGCAAACGUUGCUCGGAAUCAUUGGGCGUAAAGCGCCCGUAGGCGGCUCCUAAAGUCGGAUGUGAAAUCCCUGGGCUCAACCGAGGAAGUGCAUCCGAAACUGCGGAGCUUGAGUAUGGAAGAGGGUCGCGGAAUUCCCGGUGUAGAGGUGAAAUUCGUAGAUAUCAGGAGGAACACCAGUGGCGAAGGCGGGUCUCUGGGCCGUAACUGACGCUGAGGAGCGAAAGCGUGGGGAGCGAACAGG
This 253-nucleotide ribosomal RNA is filed under the name uncultured bacterium. RNAcentral's name for it is "partial 16S ribosomal RNA". It matches the Rfam family "Bacterial small subunit ribosomal RNA", at positions 524 to 776 of the family's 1533-position model. The record is from RNAcentral.